GCUCUGCAUUUCGAGAUGGGCAGCAAUGCCCGCGCCAACCUGCCAGACCGGCAAGGUGGUGGUCCCUGACAGGACGAUGCGGCCAGCAGGCAACCGGUCAACUGCCC
This 107-nucleotide non-coding RNA is filed under the name Aurantiacibacter gangjinensis. RNAcentral describes it as "Erythrobacter gangjinensis SAM-I-IV sequence". It matches the Rfam family "SAM-I/IV (S-adenosyl methionine) riboswitch aptamer". From Rfam's summary of the family: It is found upstream of a number of genes which code for proteins involved in methionine or cysteine biosynthesis. The record is from Rfam by way of RNAcentral. Lineage: Bacteria; Pseudomonadati; Pseudomonadota; Alphaproteobacteria; Sphingomonadales; Erythrobacteraceae.